ACAUAGCCCCGAUGGUAGCGGCAUCCUUUUUUGUUAUUGCGAUUCUUGAAUGGUUCAACAGAUUGCCUCACUUCGUUCGCAAUGACAAAAAAGAUAUAGCGGACAGCGGGUUGGAAG
RNAcentral lists this small RNA (117 nucleotides) under Epilithonimonas pallida. Its description in RNAcentral is "Flavo-1 RNA". It matches the Rfam family "Flavo-1 RNA". Lineage: Bacteria; Pseudomonadati; Bacteroidota; Flavobacteriia; Flavobacteriales; Weeksellaceae. The record is from RNAcentral.